CGUAGGAGACGAGCGUUAUCCGGAUUUACUGGGCGUAAAGCGCGGGUCGGUGGGGACUUAAGUCAUGCGUGAAAGCUCUCGGCUUAACCGGGAGAGGUCGUGUGAAACUGGGGCUCUGGAGGUAGGUAGAGGCAGAUGGAAUUCCGGGGGAGUGGUGAAAUGCGUAGAGAUCCGGAGGAACACCAGUGGCGAAGGCGAUCUGCUAGGCCUGACCUGACACUCAGCCGCGACAGCAUGGGGAGCGAACGGGAUUAGAAACCCCGGUAGUCCAUGCCGUAAACGAUGCAUACUAGACGUUGGGGAGGCAUAGCCUCUUCAGUGUCGAAGCCAACGCGAUAAGUAUGCCGCCUGGGGAGUACGAGCGCAAGCUUA
RNAcentral lists this ribosomal RNA (372 nucleotides) under uncultured organism. RNAcentral's name for it is "bacterial SSU rRNA". It matches the Rfam family "Bacterial small subunit ribosomal RNA", at positions 526 to 896 of the family's 1533-position model. The record is from RNAcentral.